CAAGUCUGGUGCCAGCAGCCGCGGUAAUUCCAGCUCCAAUAGCGUAUAUUAAAGUUGUUGCAGUUAAAAAGCUCGUAGUUGAAUUUCGGGGUUAGUAGGUUGGUCAUGCCUCUGGUAUGUACUGGUCUCACUGAUUCCUCCUUCCUUAUGAACCGUAAUGCCAUUAAUUUGGUGUUGCGGGGAAUUUGGACUGUUACUUUGAAAAAAUUAGAGUGUUUAAAGCAAGCUAACGCUUGAAUACAUUAGCAUGGAAUAAUGAAAUAGGACGUUCGAUCUUAUUUUGUUGGUUUCUAGGAUUGACGUAAUGAUUAAUAGGGAUAGUUGGGGGCAUUAGUAUUCAAUUGUCAGAGGUGAAAUUCUUGGAUUUAUUGAAGAC
RNAcentral lists this ribosomal RNA (376 nucleotides) under uncultured Glomus. RNAcentral's name for it is "SSU rRNA". It matches the Rfam family "Eukaryotic small subunit ribosomal RNA", at positions 556 to 936 of the family's 1831-position model. Lineage: Eukaryota; Fungi; Glomeromycota; Glomeromycetes; Glomerales; Glomeraceae. The record is from RNAcentral.